Molecule: long non-coding RNA, 426 nt
Organism: Stylophora pistillata
Lineage: Eukaryota; Metazoa; Cnidaria; Anthozoa; Scleractinia; Pocilloporidae
Source: RefSeq, a predicted model, not a curated record
GGCACUCAUUUUACAUUUUGUUUCUCUUGAGGCAUUAGACACCCUUCAUGCUGAAAGAAUAGGCCAUGGAUAUCAUGUCAUACAAGAUGCUGAACUCUAUCAGAGAAUAGUCAAAGAAAAAAUUCAUCUAGAGGUGUGUCCUACAUCAAGUAUACUAACUGGUGCUGUGAAGCCAUGUUUCAAAACACAUCCACUAACAAGGUUCGUCGAGGAUGGAGUAAAUUUUUCCAUUAACUCAGAUGAUCCUCUUUUUUGCCAAACAAGAGUGGACCUUGAACAAGGCAUUGCUUUUGAUAACAUUGGACUGAGCCCUGCAGAAUUAACCCAAGCGGUAUAUUUUGUUGCCUGUCACUUGGCUGCGACCCCAUUCAAAUUUAACCUCAGCCUUGUGGACUGGAUUACUCAUAUCUGGAAUGUCCUUGAAGA